RNAcentral lists this ribosomal RNA (2932 nucleotides) under Escherichia coli. Its description in RNAcentral is "bacterial LSU rRNA". It matches the Rfam family "Bacterial large subunit ribosomal RNA". Lineage: Bacteria; Pseudomonadati; Pseudomonadota; Gammaproteobacteria; Enterobacterales; Enterobacteriaceae. The record is from RNAcentral.
GGGUUGUGAGGUUAAGCGACUAAGCGUACACGGUGGAUGCCCUGGCAGUCAGAGGCGAUGAAGGACGUGCUAAUCUGCGAUAAGCGUCGGUAAGGUGAUAUGAACCGUUAUAACCGGCGAUUUCCGAAUGGGGAAACCCAGUGUGUUUCGACACACUAUCAUUAACUGAAUCCAUAGGUUAAUGAGGCGAACCGGGGGAACUGAAACAUCUAAGUACCCCGAGGAAAAGAAAUCAACCGAGAUUCCCCCAGUAGCGGCGAGCGAACGGGGAGCAGCCCAGAGCCUGAAUCAGUGUGUGUGUUAGUGGAAGCGUCUGGAAAGGCGCGCGAUACAGGGUGACAGCCCCGUACACAAAAAUGCACAUGCUGUGAGCUCGAUGAGUAGGGCGGGACACGUGGUAUCCUGUCUGAAUAUGGGGGGACCAUCCUCCAAGGCUAAAUACUCCUGACUGACCGAUAGUGAACCAGUACCGUGAGGGAAAGGCGAAAAGAACCCCGGCGAGGGGAGUGAAAAAGAACCUGAAACCGUGUACGUACAAGCAGUGGGAGCACGCUUAGGCGUGUGACUGCGUACCUUUUGUAUAAUGGGUCAGCGACUUAUAUUCUGUAGCAAGGUUAACCGAAUAGGGGAGCCGAAGGGAAACCGAGUCUUAACUGGGCGUUAAGUUGCAGGGUAUAGACCCGAAACCCGGUGAUCUAGCCAUGGGCAGGUUGAAGGUUGGGUAACACUAACUGGAGGACCGAACCGACUAAUGUUGAAAAAUUAGCGGAUGACUUGUGGCUGGGGGUGAAAGGCCAAUCAAACCGGGAGAUAGCUGGUUCUCCCCGAAAGCUAUUUAGGUAGCGCCUCGUGAAUUCAUCUCCGGGGGUAGAGCACUGUUUCGGCAAGGGGGUCAUCCCGACUUACCAACCCGAUGCAAACUGCGAAUACCGGAGAAUGUUAUCACGGGAGACACACGGCGGGUGCUAACGUCCGUCGUGAAGAGGGAAACAACCCAGACCGCCAGCUAAGGUCCCAAAGUCAUGGUUAAGUGGGAAACGAUGUGGGAAGGCCCAGACAGCCAGGAUGUUGGCUUAGAAGCAGCCAUCAUUUAAAGAAAGCGUAAUAGCUCACUGGUCGAGUCGGCCUGCGCGGAAGAUGUAACGGGGCUAAACCAUGCACCGAAGCUGCGGCAGCGACGCUGAUGCGUUGUUGGGUAGGGGAGCGUUCUGUAAGCCUGCGAAGGUGUGCUGUGAGGCAUGCUGGAGGUAUCAGAAGUGCGAAUGCUGACAUAAGUAACGAUAAAGCGGGUGAAAAGCCCGCUCGCCGGAAGACCAAGGGUUCCUGUCCAACGUUAAUCGGGGCAGGGUGAGUCGACCCCUAAGGCGAGGCCGAAAGGCGUAGUCGAUGGGAAACAGGUUAAUAUUCCUGUACUUGGUGUUACUGCGAAGGGGGGACGGAGAAGGCUAUGUUGGCCGGGCGACGGUUGUCCCGGUUUAAGCGUGUAGGCUGGUUUUCCAGGCAAAUCCGGAAAAUCAAGGCUGAGGCGUGAUGACGAGGCACUACGGUGCUGAAGCAACAAAUGCCCUGCUUCCAGGAAAAGCCUCUAAGCAUCAGGUAACAUCAAAUCGUACCCCAAACCGACACAGGUGGUCAGGUAGAGAAUACCAAGGCGCUUGAGAGAACUCGGGUGAAGGAACUAGGCAAAAUGGUGCCGUAACUUCGGGAGAAGGCACGCUGAUAUGUAGGUGAAGUCCCUUGCGGAUGGAGCUGAAAUCAGUCGAAGAUACCAGCUGGCUGCAACUGUUUAUUAAAAACACAGCACUGUGCAAACACGAAAGUGGACGUAUACGGUGUGACGCCUGCCCGGUGCCGGAAGGUUAAUUGAUGGGGUUAGCCGCAAGGCGAAGCUCUUGAUCGAAGCCCCGGUAAACGGCGGCCGUAACUAUAACGGUCCUAAGGUAGCGAAAUUCCUUGUCGGGUAAGUUCCGACCUGCACGAAUGGCGUAAUGAUGGCCAGGCUGUCUCCACCCGAGACUCAGUGAAAUUGAACUCGCUGUGAAGAUGCAGUGUACCCGCGGCAAGACGGAAAGACCCCGUGAACCUUUACUAUAGCUUGACACUGAACAUUGAGCCUUGAUGUGUAGGAUAGGUGGGAGGCUUUGAAGUGUGGACGCCAGUCUGCAUGGAGCCGACCUUGAAAUACCACCCUUUAAUGUUUGAUGUUCUAACGUUGACCCGUAAUCCGGGUUGCGGACAGUGUCUGGUGGGUAGUUUGACUGGGGCGGUCUCCUCCUAAAGAGUAACGGAGGAGCACGAAGGUUGGCUAAUCCUGGUCGGACAUCAGGAGGUUAGUGCAAUGGCAUAAGCCAGCUUGACUGCGAGCGUGACGGCGCGAGCAGGUGCGAAAGCAGGUCAUAGUGAUCCGGUGGUUCUGAAUGGAAGGGCCAUCGCUCAACGGAUAAAAGGUACUCCGGGGAUAACAGGCUGAUACCGCCCAAGAGUUCAUAUCGACGGCGGUGUUUGGCACCUCGAUGUCGGCUCAUCACAUCCUGGGGCUGAAGUAGGUCCCAAGGGUAUGGCUGUUCGCCAUUUAAAGUGGUACGCGAGCUGGGUUUAGAACGUCGUGAGACAGUUCGGUCCCUAUCUGCCGUGGGCGCUGGAGAACUGAGGGGGGCUGCUCCUAGUACGAGAGGACCGGAGUGGACGCAUCACUGGUGUUCGGGUUGUCAUGCCAAUGGCACUGCCCGGUAGCUAAAUGCGGAAGAGAUAAGUGCUGAAAGCAUCUAAGCACGAAACUUGCCCCGAGAUGAGUUCUCCCUGACCCUUUAAGGGUCCUGAAGGAACGUUGAAGACGACGACGUUGAUAGGCCGGGUGUGUAAGCGCAGCGAUGCGUUGAGCUAACCGGUACUAAUGAACCGUGAGGCUUAACCUUACAACGCCGAAGCUGUU